UACAGAGACUGCAAGCGUUAUUCGGAUUCACUGGGCGUAAAGGGUGCGCAGGCGGCCGAGUGUGUUAGGCGUGAAAGCCUGAGGCUCAACCUCAGAAUUGCACCUAAAACUACACGGCUAGAGCAUUGGAGAGGGUAGCGGAAUUCACGGUGUAGCAGUGAAAUGCGUAGAUAUCGUGAGGAACACCAGAGGCGAAGGCGGCUACCUGGACAAUUGCUGACGCUCAGGCACGAAAGCGUGGGGAGCAAAAGGG
RNAcentral lists this ribosomal RNA (253 nucleotides) under uncultured bacterium. RNAcentral's name for it is "partial 16S ribosomal RNA". It matches the Rfam family "Bacterial small subunit ribosomal RNA", at positions 524 to 776 of the family's 1533-position model. The record is from RNAcentral.